RNAcentral lists this ribosomal RNA (425 nucleotides) under uncultured bacterium. RNAcentral describes it as "partial 16S ribosomal RNA". It matches the Rfam family "Bacterial small subunit ribosomal RNA", at positions 354 to 796 of the family's 1533-position model. The record is from RNAcentral.
GUGGGGAAUAUUGGACAAUGGGCGCAAGCCUGAUCCAGCCAUGCCGCGUGAGUGAUGAAGGCCUUAGGGUUGUAAAGCUCUUUCAGUGGGGACGAUAAUGACGGUACCCACAGAAGAAGCCCCGGCUAACUUCGUGCCAGCAGCCGCGGUAAUACGAAGGGGGCUAGCGUUGUUCGGAUUUACUGGGCGUAAAGCGCACGUAGGCGGAUCGUUAAGUCGGGGGUGAAAUCCUGGAGCUCAACUCCAGAACUGCCUUCGAUACUGGCGAUCUUGAGGCCGGAAGAGGUGAGUGGAACUCCUAGUGUAGAGGUGGAAUUCGUAGAUAUUAGGAAGAACACCAGUGGCGAAGGCGGCUCACUGGUCCGGUACUGACGCUGAGGUGCGAAAGCGUGGGGAGCAAACAGGAUUAGAAACCCUUGUAGUCC